UUCCCGCGUCCCGAACUGUCGCCGUAUGGCGUGCGUGUCCCGGUUCCGCCGGGACUAGGGGCCGGGAAGGCA
Molecule: non-coding RNA, 72 nt
Submitted as: unclassified sequences
Source: Rfam